AGAGCGAACGCUGGCGGCAGGCCUAAUACAUGCAAGUCGAACGGAUCCUUCGGGAUUAGUGGCGGACGGGUGAGUAACACGUGGGAACGUACCCUUUGGUUCGGAACAACUCAGGGAAACUUGAGCUAAUACCGAAUGUGCCCUUCGGGGAAAAGAUUUAUCGCCAUUGGAGCGGCCCGCGUCUGAUUAGCUAGUUGGUAGGGUAAAGGCCUACCAAGGCUACGAUCAGUAGCUGGUCUGAGAGGAUGAUCAGCCACACUGGGACUGAGACACGGCCCAGACUCCUACGGGAGGCAGCAGUAGGGAAUCUUGCGCAAUGGGCGAAAAGCCUGACGCAGCCAUGCCGCGUGAAUGAUGAAGGUCUUAGGAUUGUAAAAAUUCUUUCAGCGGGGACGAUAAUGACGGUACCCGCAGAAGAAGCCCCGGCUAACUUCGCGCCAGCAGCCGC
Molecule: ribosomal RNA, 448 nt
Filed under: uncultured bacterium
Lineage: Bacteria
Description: SSU rRNA
Rfam family: Bacterial small subunit ribosomal RNA
Source: RNAcentral